UACAGAGGUCCCGAGCGUUGUUCGGAUUCACUGGGCGUAAAGGGUGCGUAGGUGGGCAAGUAAGUCAGUGGUGAAAUCUCCGGGCUUAACCCGGAAACUGCCAUUGAUACUAUUUGUCUUGAAUACUGUGGAGGUCAGCGGAAUAUGUCAUGUAGCGGUGAAAUGCGUAGAUAUGACAUAGAACACCAAUUGCGAAGGCAGCUGGCUACACAAAUAUUGACACUGAGGCACGAAAGCGUGGGGAUCAAACAGG
This 253-nucleotide ribosomal RNA is filed under the name uncultured bacterium. RNAcentral describes it as "partial 16S ribosomal RNA". It matches the Rfam family "Bacterial small subunit ribosomal RNA", at positions 524 to 776 of the family's 1533-position model. The record is from RNAcentral.